AGGGUAGUGUAAUUGGAAGCACGUGGAGUUUUGAUCUCUAAUGUACAGGAUCAAGUCCUGUUUUUCUA
RNAcentral lists this transfer RNA (68 nucleotides) under Boulengerula taitana (Taita Mountains caecilian). RNAcentral's name for it is "tRNA-Gln". The stretch from base 5 to 61 matches the Rfam family "tRNA", at positions 8 to 63 of the family's 71-position model. Rfam says of the family: Transfer RNA (tRNA) molecules are approximately 80 nucleotides in length. Their secondary structure includes four short double-helical elements and three loops (D, anti-codon, and T loops). The record is from RNAcentral. Lineage: Eukaryota; Metazoa; Chordata; Amphibia; Gymnophiona; Herpelidae.